RNAcentral lists this ribosomal RNA (497 nucleotides) under uncultured bacterium. Its description in RNAcentral is "partial 16S ribosomal RNA". It matches the Rfam family "Bacterial small subunit ribosomal RNA", at positions 28 to 507 of the family's 1533-position model. The record is from RNAcentral.
GAUGAACGCUGGCGGCGUGCCUAAUACAUGCAAGUCGAGCGAACAGACGAGGAGCUUGCUCCUCUAACGUUAGCGGCGGACGGGUGAGUAACACGUGGAUCACCUACCUCUAAUACUGGGAUAACUUCGGGAAACCGGAGCUAAUACCGGAUAAUCUAUUGAACCGCAUGGUUCAAUAGUGAAAGACGGUUUUGCUGUCACUUAUAGAUGGAUCCGCGCCGCAUUAGCUAGUUGGUAAGGUAACGGCUUACCAAGGCAACGAUGCGUAGCCGACCUGAGAGGGUGAUCGGCCACACUGGAACUGAGACACGGUCCAGACUCCUACGGGAGGCAGCAGUAGGGAAUCUUCCGCAAUGGGCGAAAGCCUGACGGAGCAACGCCGCGUGAGUGAUGAAGGUCUUCGGAUCGUAAAACUCUGUUAUUAGGGAAGAACAAAUGUGUAAGUAACUAUGCACGUCUUGACGGUACCUAAUCAGAAAGCCACGGCUAACUACGUG